UGGGUUGACUACUGGCAAAAUUGCUGGA
Molecule: non-coding RNA, 28 nt
Filed under: Homo sapiens (human)
Lineage: Eukaryota; Metazoa; Chordata; Mammalia; Primates; Hominidae
Source: RNAcentral